GUCAAGGUCAAAGCUGAUCAAGGUCAAAGCUGGGCAAGGUCAAGGUCAAGGUCAAUGUGAAUCCUGCUCUGCCUGCUCCACAUUCCAUGCUCAACUCACUAUGUCUGCUCACCAGUUCUUCUAAAGACCCUUGCCCUGGAGCCACUGGGGACAGCCCAGCUCCCAUGCUUCCUUCUCGGGGCUUCAGCAUGACCUGGGGGGGGGUCAAACCUCUCCAGGGAGCAACACCUGACACAGAGGUUUCACCUUCCUCACAGCUGGGCCCACGUGUGACCACGAGUGAGUCACAAGUGAAAGAUGGAGCCGUCUCUCCUCGCUGCGGUGCUCUGGUCCCCAAACCACAUUUAUGUUUUCAUAUAAGUGUCGGGAUGAUUCAGCGGAAACUUCUGGUCAAACGGAUCACCAUAGCAACUUUCAAUAGACAUCCAACAUGCAAAUUAGAGAGUGGAAAGGGACAAGUUUCAAUAGCCUCAAACCACCGUCCUCUGAACCCGAACCCUGCGUGGAUUGAAUCCCAGAUGCUUUGAAGGGGUAACGCAGAGUCAGCAGCGGAAGUCCAUUUCACACCUGCCAGGUCUGCCGGGACCUUCAGAUGCUAAGAGGAGAUAAGCAAAGGCCUCUGUGUGGCUUCUGAAUUCUUUGUCUAGCAGGGAAGACAUGUAGAGCAGGGUUGGGAGGCUGGGGUUCACAUUUUCCCCAUGUCAUUCAUAAACCUCCGGGUCUUGGCCAACUUGUGAGAACUCGGAGCUGUAGGAUUUUCACCUGUAAGAAGGGGAUGGGAGCGGUGCCCAACAGGGGUGUGGUGUCUGAGUGGUGAGCGGGGGGUGGUUGCAGGUAUUAGUCUCUCAGUGCACAGCAUAUUUGGACCUUCUGAAGCAUAGUUUAUCUUUAGGCCUCAGCCUUCUGUUGAAGUGAGUUUUGAAUAUCUGCUUUCAAUAUCCAGAAUGUGCGUGCAUUCGUGCGUGUCUGGGCAUGCUUAUUUAAUGACUCCUUUCUCCUAAUUGACCAAUUUACUUCAUCAAAACAGACUAUAGAACCACAUCCAUAGGUUAAUUUUUUUCUUUCACAAUAACAGAAGCAAAGCCAGAAGAGGCUGGACUGUUACCCAGAGGACUAGAUGUACUUUUUGGCCACUUGGGAAUGUAUGGUUGGGAGUGGUGGGUGUACUCCUGGUGACACUCACGGCUCUGCUUUCCAGAGACUCACCUGUAAUUCCAACACUGAGUUUCAGGUUUGGCAAGAGGCACAUAAAAAUAUUCUCAAGGUGUACUGAUGAAAAAGAAAGAAAGAAAGAAAGAAAUCCAGGCUUCAAGGAGGAUCAGCUUUGCAUCUCUCAACCUGCCUUCACAGAUGUGAGAGGGGCGGGACGUGACCUGGGACUUCUUGGGAGCAGGAGUUGUCUCUGGCAGGAGAUGUGGGCACUAGAUAGCAUCAG
RNAcentral lists this long non-coding RNA (1435 nucleotides) under Marmota monax (woodchuck). The record is from RNAcentral. Lineage: Eukaryota; Metazoa; Chordata; Mammalia; Rodentia; Sciuridae.